UCCAUCUGGACAUGGUACAAAACGUUAAUACUACAUGCUUCCUGACAUGUGUAAGGGUUGUAAAAGGAAUUCUCCUUUUCUGUUUGUGCAAACAGUGUGGAAUAGCCUCUGGAGAACAACCCGAGGGUCAUCAAAUGUUAGACUGAGAAUUCGUGGACAUGACAAUUCUACAGAUGCCAAGAAUGGACCUGAAAAGAUGUUUCAGAGGUUAAAAGUGCUUGCUGCUAAUUCAGAGGACCGGAGUUUGUUUCCCAGAGCCACAUUAGGCAGCCCACAUCUACCUACAACACUAGCUCCUAGAGACCCAACACCCUCUUCUAGAAUCUGCACAUGUCUGCAGGUACCUGCAGGCACAUACAGAGACAUACAUACACAUAAAUAAAAAAU
Molecule: long non-coding RNA, 387 nt
Filed under: Rattus norvegicus (Norway rat)
Lineage: Eukaryota; Metazoa; Chordata; Mammalia; Rodentia; Muridae
Description: long non-coding RNA NONRATT015205
Source: RNAcentral